UGCGAGUCGAGCGUCUCUAGCUAUGUUGAGACGCGGCAGACGGCUCAGUAACACGUGGCUAACCUACCCUCAGGACGAGGAUAAACCCGGGAAACUGGGGCUAAUACUCGAUAGGUGAGAAUGUCUGGAAUGAUUUCUCAUUCAAAGGGCUUUAGAAACAUGCUUCUAAAGUCGCCUGGGGAUGGGGCCGCGUCCGAUCAGGUUGUUGGUGAGGUAACGGCUCACCAAGCCUAUAACCGGUACGGGCCGUGAGAGCGGUAGCCCGGAGAUGGGUACUGAGACAAGGACCCAGGCCCUACGGGGCGCAGCAGUCGCGAAAACUCCGCAAUGCACGAAAGUGUGACGGGGCUACCCCGAGUGCCAUCCGCUGAGGAUGGCUUUUCUUUGGUGUAACUAGCCGGGGGAAUAAGGAGAGGGCAAGACUGGUGUCAGCCGCCGCGGUAAUACCAGCUCUCCGAGUGGUAGGGAUGAUUAUUGGGCUUAAAGCGUCCGUAGCCGGCUUAGCAAGUCUCCUGUUAAAUUCAGCGACCUAAUCGUUGAGCCGCGGGAGAUACUACUAGGCUAGGAGGCGGGAGAGGUCGACGGUACUUCUGGGGUAGGGGUGAAAUCCUAUAAUCCUUGGAGGACCACCAGUGGCGAAGGCGGUCGACUAGAACGUGCCUGACGGUGAGGGACGAAAGCUGGGGGAGCGAACCGGAUUAGAUACC
This 707-nucleotide ribosomal RNA is filed under the name uncultured archaeon. Its description in RNAcentral is "bacterial SSU rRNA". It matches the Rfam family "Archaeal small subunit ribosomal RNA", at positions 52 to 737 of the family's 1478-position model. The record is from RNAcentral.